Transfer RNA from Camelus ferus (Wild Bactrian camel), 72 nucleotides. It matches the Rfam family "tRNA". Rfam says of the family: Transfer RNA (tRNA) molecules are approximately 80 nucleotides in length. The record is from Rfam. NCBI's taxonomy places the organism in Eukaryota, Metazoa, Chordata, Mammalia, Artiodactyla, Camelidae.
GAGGAUGUAGCUCAGUGGCAGAGUGUGUGCUUAGCAUGCACAGGGUCCUAGGUUCAAUACCUCGUACCUCCA